CCCUCUUUAAUUUCCGCCAAAUUUUGGACGGCCCGCUAAAAGAGACCCGCUUCUAUUUUAUUUUAUAAUUAAUAAAAUAAUAAAAACUAAUAAUAAUACACACACCAGAGAUUACGAGGAAGACAAACACCUUAUCACAAAAAGUUCCAAUCUCUCUCUCCCAAAAAGCAUUUAUCAGUUCGCCGGAGAUUACAAGGAAGACAAACCACCAUCGGCGGCACAGGUAAGCUACAUUUUUUUAUCACGAUUCCAACUGUAUUCUACCAUUUUUGUUUAUUUUCUUUAAGAUCUCUGUCAUUCCUUCUGUUUUCCACACUGCCUGCGCGCCGCUAGGCCUUCUGUUUUUCAUUUCUAGGGUUUCAUAGAAAAUGAAGUUGAGCUCUGUAUUUGUCGAAACAUCAAUUCUUUUGUCUCAAUUUAUUUAAUUUGAGGUCUUGCAACUCCAAUGUUGAAUUUUUGAGUGAUGUUAAUUACUAGUAAAGAGGGUUUGUGUUAUCUAUAUGGAGUUUAACUUUCUUGAAAGUUGACAAAACGUGGGUUAUAAAGAUACUGUGAUUUGUCCUAUAAAAAAAUAGUACAAGUAUUUAAUUUGGAAAUUUUUAAUCAUAAUUCAGAUUUCUGCAACUUUCAAGAUUCUUCAGGUAUUGCUUUUGUCACCAUCAGAAAGAGAUUAUGUGAUGUUACAUCAGAAAUGUAAUAUGGGCAUUAUUUGAUUUCAAAUUCUGAAGUUGCCUUUCUUAUUGGUACUAUAAGUUGUCAAUGAUAAGUGAUAUGCAAACAACUCUACAAUAUCUAGUCUCUUUAAGUGAGACCUUGUGACCAUUAGGCCAUUUCUUAUGCAGAGAAGAUUAGUCAAGAAUAAAUGAGACCUUGUGACCAUUAGGCCAUUUCUUAUGCAGAGAAGAUUAGUCAAGAUUAGUCUUCUGCUAUAUAAUAUUACUACUUUUCUCUAUAGGUAGAUUCUAAUGGAGAUGGUAGAAAUAUGUCUAAGCUUAUUGUUAGUUUCUGCUCUUUCAAAGUUUAUUCUACUAUAGAGUCAUGUCUGGAGUUAAAAUCAUUGCUCUUCUUAGUCUGAAUUGGCUGACAUAAAAAGGUGUGUGAUGAAUUAGUAUAUUUUGUCCGACUUCCGAAUUUAACAGGGUUCAGAGGAUUGACAUUUAUAUCAUUAUCUUGGUAUGCUGGUGGAGUAAAUUCUGUAUUCAGAGUUUAUUGUUCCAAUAUUUGCUACUAGGAAAACAGAAAGCAGGAAAUAUUGUAUAAUCAGACACAUAACUACAUGAAGUAUAAAUACAACCAUCGCUGCAUUUAACUUAUAGUAGUAGAUUAGUAUAUAAGAGUAGAGAUUUUUAAAAGCUCACAGUAAUGGAGGCUUUACCUAUUUUACAGUCGAACUUUGAGGAAUCAUGGUAAUCCAACUUUUCUUCAUAUAAAAAUUCAUAGGCUUACGCCAAUUAGUCUUCUUCAAACAAUGACCAAUAUAUUUAUAUAGUUAGUUCUUUUCAUUUUUAUCAAGAAUAAAGUAGUGGUCAAGGAUAUCUAUGCAACCCAUAAAAAAGAGAGGACAUCUAUGCUUGUGGGAUAAAAUCAAUAUUCUAUGGUACAUGGUGAAACUACAAUUGGAGGCAAUACUCUCUAAAUUAAUACCUUUUUUCAAUUUUGUAUUCUCUUGUCGAAUGAGGUUUACCUUUUUAUAGAGUUCUAUAUUUUCUUGAUGAAUAUGAUUGCCCUGCAGAAGCAAUAUUAAUUAUUUGGGUACCAAAAUUUAAAGAUAAGAGAAUAUGGGAAGUUGUGAUAGUUUUUCUAGUAGAACCUUCUGAUUUAGUUCUCCUUUUCUGUGUUUGUUGAUUUUUAUGCUAUAUACUGUAUUCUUUAGAUUCUUGGUCAUUUGUUGGAAAUUGAUGCCCGACUUAGUUAUCUCAUGCUUCUUUUGGCUAAGUCUCUGCGGUCUAUGGAGUCUUCCUAAAGGAUUUUCUAUGGUUUCCUUCUUACCCAACUCUGUAUGCAAGUCUUAGAUAUUUCAGUGGUUUCCUUUGGUAAAGGAGGAGAAAUUCCAGCUAACAUGGUUGUUAAAUGUUUGGCCUGCCUGGGAUUCUAGCUAACAUGAUUAUUUUUGUUUUCAUUACGAUAUAUUAAUAUGGUUUAAAGCUGCCUCUAUGGUCAGCUGUGAUAAAUAUCUCUUUAAAGAACUUUCUACUCAACGUGCACACCUAGUAGUACUAAAUGAUGGAGUUUUUUCGGGAUUCUAUUCUUUCUAUGUGAAACCUUUUAUAUGAAAACUGAGAAGGAUAUACUGUAAGAUCUACGUCAUAUAUGAUCUUCUACUUUUGUUGAUUCCAAGUAUUCCAAGUUUCCGUAUCUGUGCUAUUGCUAAUACAGAAAUCGAAGUCAGAAUUAAAAUCAUUAUUGGCAGUAGUAGUAGCAGCAAUAUCUUUGUGGCAAAGAUUAUGGGAAACGGAGAUUCUUGGACUUGUGGCUAAACUUGGAGCUUUAGAGAUCAUAUCAAUGGCCAUGGUUUUUGUUUUCUUGAUUCAAUUAUUGAAAGGACAUAAAAGAAAAAAAUCUAACGCGGUGGGAUAGUUGUGGUAAGAGGACAAGAUUCAAAUGUGAUGUGGGAACACUGCCUAACAGGGUCCUUGGGCUUUAUAUGUUAGCUAUUCGAAUUUCUACAAAAAUUCAAUUGACUUGGUCGUUGAAACCAAGUGAACCUCUCUCCCACUGUUAGUUGCAUGAUGUCGAUAUGUUCAUUAGAAGGAGUUGAGGCAUAGUCAUCCAACUCGUCAACAUAUAUUACGUCGUCUCACACUGCUGCUGUUGUGAUAACCAAAAGAAUCACAACAAGAUUCUCAAAUAUUGUUGAUUCUGUCAUGAGGUUCUUUUUCUUCUCAUCCAUUUCAUACUCAACUUGAUCUUCAAUUUCAUUAUUCUUGUUUUCAUCAGUAUCUAAACCAGUUGCUAAUGUUUCUUCACCAUUCGUUAUGGUCAAACAUGGCAAACUUAGAAGACUACAACUUCUUGUUGUAGUUUCUUUUUGUUUUACAACUACUAUUGUUGGUUCUGGAGUUUUUAUGUUCUUUUCUUUUUUCAUGGCAAUUUGUGCUAUGAGUAUUCUUAGACCGGAUUCUCUUGAAGGGUAAUAACUUUAUUUAUCCUCUUUAGUAGGUGGAGUAGAUCAAGAAAUGAAUGAUGAAGACAGUGAAGAACUAGACCUUACUUGAGAUGAAUUUUGAAUUGUUAUAGAUGAAUGUUCUAGGAAUAUUUUGUUAUCAACAUUUUUGAAACUUACUCUCUUGAAAUGUACUAAACUUAUGCACUUGGGGUAGAACAUUUGCUUUAAGGAUAUUAUUUGCUUGAUAGAUAAUUUUAUAUUAUUAAUAGUUUCAUUUUAUGAUGUAUUUAAAUUUUAGUGUUAUUAUAAUUUAUUAUAUAUAUAAAUAAUUAUUUA
Molecule: long non-coding RNA, 3442 nt
Filed under: Nicotiana tabacum (common tobacco)
Lineage: Eukaryota; Viridiplantae; Streptophyta; Magnoliopsida; Solanales; Solanaceae
Description: long non-coding RNA (NTAB_LNC009920)
Source: RNAcentral